AAUCAACGCUGGCGGCGUGCCUCAGACAUGCAAGUCGAACGAUUAAAGCUCUCUUCGGAGAGUGCAUAGAGUGGCGCACGGGUGAGUAACACGUAAGUAAUCUACCUUCGAGUGGGGAAUAACGUCCGGAAACGGACGCUAAUACCGCAUAAUGCAGCGGCAUCGCAAGAUGACAGUUGUUAAAGGAGCAAUUCGCUUGAAGAGGAGCUUGCGGCAGAUUAGCUAGUUGGUAAGGUAAUGGCUUACCAAGGCUACGAUCUGUAACCGGUCUAAGAGGACGGUCGGUCACACUGACACUGAAUAACGGGUCAGACUCCUACGGGAGGCAGCAGUCGGGAAUUUUGGGCAAUGGGCGAAAGCCUGACCCAGCAACGCCGCGUGAAGGAUGAAGUAUUUCGGUAUGUAAACUUCGAAAGAAUAGGAAGAAUUAAUGACGGUACUAUUUAUAAGGUCCGGCUAACUACGUGCCAGCAGCCGCCGUAAC
RNAcentral lists this ribosomal RNA (484 nucleotides) under uncultured bacterium. Its description in RNAcentral is "bacterial SSU rRNA". It matches the Rfam family "Bacterial small subunit ribosomal RNA", at positions 32 to 524 of the family's 1533-position model. The record is from RNAcentral.